This 86-nucleotide microRNA precursor is filed under the name Lotus japonicus. RNAcentral's name for it is "miR11150 stem-loop (lja-MIR11150)". Lineage: Eukaryota; Viridiplantae; Streptophyta; Magnoliopsida; Fabales; Fabaceae. The record is from miRBase by way of RNAcentral.
GCACUUUCAAAGUGCGUUACUUAUGCACUUUCAAGGUGCGUUACGGUCGCACUUUCGAGGUGAGUAGUUAACGCAUUUUAGAGUGC